This 1186-nucleotide ribosomal RNA is filed under the name Escherichia coli. RNAcentral's name for it is "partial 23S ribosomal RNA". It matches the Rfam family "Bacterial large subunit ribosomal RNA", at positions 165 to 1389 of the family's 2925-position model. The record is from RNAcentral. Lineage: Bacteria; Pseudomonadati; Pseudomonadota; Gammaproteobacteria; Enterobacterales; Enterobacteriaceae.
CAUAGGUUAAUGAGGCGAACCGGGGGAACUGAAACAUCUAAGUACCCCGAGGAAAAGAAAUCAACCGAGAUUCCCCCAGUAGCGGCGAGCGAACGGGGAGCAGCCCAGAGCCUGAAUCAGUGUGUGUGUUAGUGGAAGCGUCUGGAAAGGCGCGCGAUACAGGGUGACAGCCCCGUACACAAAAAUGCACAUACUGUGAGCUCGAUGAGUAGGGCGGGACACGUGGUAUCCUGUCUGAAUAUGGGGGGACCAUCCUCCAAGGCUAAAUACUCCUGACUGACCGAUAGUGAACCAGUACCGUGAGGGAAAGGCGAAAAGAACCCCGGCGAGGGGAGUGAAAAAGAACCUGAAACCGUGUACGUACAAGCAGUGGGAGCACGCUUAGGCGUGUGACUGCGUACCUUUUGUAUAAUGGGUCAGCGACUUAUAUUCUGUAGCAAGGUUAACCGAAUAGGGGAGCCGAAGGGAAACCGAGUCUUAACUGGGCGUUAAGUUGCAGGGUAUAGACCCGAAACCCGGUGAUCUAGCCAUGGGCAGGUUGAAGGUUGGGUAACACUAACUGGAGGACCGAACCGACUAAUGUUGAAAAAUUAGCGGAUGACUUGUGGCUGGGGGUGAAAGGCCAAUCAAACCGGGAGAUAGCUGGUUCUCCCCGAAAGCUAUUUAGGUAGCGCCUCGUGAAUUCAUCUCCGGGGGUAGAGCACUGUUUCGGCAAGGGGGUCAUCCCGACUUACCAACCCGAUGCAAACUGCGAAUACCGGAGAAUGUUAUCACGGGAGACACACGGCGGGUGCUAACGUCCGUCGUGAAGAGGGAAACAACCCAGACCGCCAGCUAAGGUCCCAAAGUCAUGGUUAAGUGGGAAACGAUGUGGGAAGGCCCAGACAGCCAGGAUGUUGGCUUAGAAGCAGCCAUCAUUUAAAGAAAGCGUAAUAGCUCACUGGUCGAGUCGGCCUGCGCGGAAGAUGUAACGGGGCUAAACCAUGCACCGAAGCUGCGGCAGCGACGCUGAUGCGUUGUUGGGUAGGGGAGCGUUCUGUAAGCCUGUGAAGGUGUGCUGUGAGGCAUGCUGGAGGUAUCAGAAGUGCGAAUGCUGACAUAAGUAACGAUAAAGCGGGUGAAAAGCCCGCUCGCCGGAAGACCAAGGGUUCCUGUCCAACGUUAAUCGGGGCAGGGUGAGUCGACC